RNAcentral lists this ribosomal RNA (356 nucleotides) under uncultured Desulfobulbus sp. RNAcentral's name for it is "bacterial SSU rRNA". It matches the Rfam family "Bacterial small subunit ribosomal RNA", at positions 1026 to 1382 of the family's 1533-position model. Lineage: Bacteria; Pseudomonadati; Thermodesulfobacteriota; Desulfobulbia; Desulfobulbales; Desulfobulbaceae. The record is from RNAcentral.
UACUGGAGACAGGUGGCUGCAUGGCUGUCGUCAGCUCGUGUCGUGAGAUGUUGGGUUAAGUCCCGCAACGAGCGCAACCCUUGCCUUUAGUUGCCAGCAGUUCGGCUGGGCACUCUAAAGGGACUGCCGGUGUUAAACCGGAGAAGGUGGGGAUGACGUCAAGUCCUCAUGGCCUUUAUGACCAGGGCUACACACGUACUACAAUGGCCGAUACAAAGGGCAGCGACACUGCGAGGUGAAGCCAAUCCCGUAAAAUCGGUCUCAGUCCGGAUUGGAGUCUGCAACUCGACUCCAUGAAGUUGGAAUCGCUAGUAAUCGUGGAUCAGCAUGCCACGGUGAAUACGUUCCCGGGCCUU